RNAcentral lists this long non-coding RNA (560 nucleotides) under Pongo abelii (Sumatran orangutan). RNAcentral's name for it is "lincRNA". Lineage: Eukaryota; Metazoa; Chordata; Mammalia; Primates; Hominidae. The record is from RNAcentral.
AAAAGAAAGAAGAAGAAGAAAAAAAGGACUGGAAAGACAUUGGUGAAUAGAAAGACGAAAGGGUGAAGAAAAAAAUGAUGAUAGUCAAUAGGGUGGUUUUAAAAGAGGCUUUUUUUUUUGAAUUUGUUUUUGUGUGAGUGUGCAUGCAUGUGUUUGUUUUUUGCCUAAAAGUAUUUAACUCCUCAUUACACCACUGAUUUCAAAGAAAAAAACCUGAAGUGUAAGAUCAUAUGAUUUGUUUUUAAACUGAACACUGUAUACUCUCUUUUUGUUUUUGCAAAAUUAAUGCAGUAUCCAGUGUGUCUUUAGAUAACCCUGUCCUUAAUGAUAUUUUCAAUAGCCACUAACCUUGCCUGGUACUGUUUUGGGGUUAAAACUAGAAUAGAAAUUUAAAGCAGGCUUUAUUAGUGCAUAGUACAAAUCAAUUACAUAUAUAUGGAGAUAUUAUUUUUCCCUCUUCAGUUGUUUUUCAUGCAGCUUACCCAAUAUAAUUGUUCUGUUAGUUGUAUACUACACUGUGAUAGCAAAUAAUAAUAAUAAAAUAAUUAUGAUGGUAUUGC